This 160-nucleotide ribosomal RNA is filed under the name Premna angolensis. Its description in RNAcentral is "5.8S ribosomal RNA". It matches the Rfam family "5.8S ribosomal RNA". Rfam says of the family: 5.8S ribosomal RNA (5.8S rRNA) is a component of the large subunit of the eukaryotic ribosome. It is transcribed by RNA polymerase I as part of the 45S precursor that also contains 18S and 28S rRNA. Lineage: Eukaryota; Viridiplantae; Streptophyta; Magnoliopsida; Lamiales; Lamiaceae. The record is from RNAcentral.
ACGACUCUCGGCAACGGAUAUCUCGGCUCUCGCAUCGAUGAAGAACGCAGCAAAAUGCGAUACUUGGUGUGAAUUGCAGAAUCCCGUGAACCAUCGAGUCUUUGAACGCAAGUUGCGCCCGAGGCCAUUAGGCCGAGGGCACGUCUGCCUGGGCGUCACG